Molecule: non-coding RNA, 964 nt
Organism: Microcebus murinus (gray mouse lemur)
Lineage: Eukaryota; Metazoa; Chordata; Mammalia; Primates; Cheirogaleidae
Source: RefSeq, a predicted model, not a curated record
GCCGGUCAGCGCGUCAGCGCGCCGCGGUCGCGUCACUGGAAGGCGCCUGGCAACGGGCGGCGCCCUCAGCCCUUCGCUUUGCCUCGUUCUCCGAGUGUCGGGAAGGGCUCCGCGUCGCCUCGCUUCUUCGGGGCCAUGGGUCCCGCUAGACAUGCUCCCCCUUUAACACUCAACCCCGAUUCUCAGAUCGCUCCGUCGGUCUCCUGACCGCCGCUGCCUUCCACCCCACCGACCCCACACACCCGUUUCCCGCUCUCAGGAGUAGGCUCCGAGUGCAGUGCCCCGGAGCACAGUACCUAUGGCCAAAAGCCUGCCCCGCCCCCUGGCCACGGAGCAAAUUCAAGUUUCCGUGUUCCCGACUGGAGGAAUCAAGCCUCUUCGGCCAACUACUCCUCCGCCCGAGCCCCUGACCCCCUAACUCCCUGCGGUUCUCAUUCCCGCUGCCAAGCUGCUUCCCACUUCCUGGACUUUUAUAAACUUCUCUGCUGUCUCUACACGGACCCUCCAGGAUUACUUUUCUCCCUCACCCUCUUUAGGGAGGAGGAGAAAGAAGCUUCAUUGGCCAAACUUUUUAAUCCCACUACAACUUCCAAAGUUGCUAAGCCAUUUGGGGCAAGUACUGAAAAUGUUCCCUGUCUAAAAGAGGAUAAACUACACUUUCUGCAGUGAGUUGAAGCAGCCUGAGGCCCUCAUCAGAUACAGAGACCCAAUCUUGAAUUUUCCAGCUGACAGAAUUUCAUGAUGUCUGAAGGUACAACAGUGCAACAACCAUCUUUCAACCAAGAGAAGACAAAGAUGAUGAGGACAAAAGAGCCCAUGUGCUAAAAUUGGCCUUUUCAUGUUCUGUGUAAUUUUUAAAAAAACAAUCAUCACAUAUAUUAUUUUUUUAAGAAAACAGUGUCUUCAUUUAAAAUGGGGAUAUAGCAAUACUAACUUAUUUCAAUGGAAGUUUUGGAGGCUUAAA